GUAGCAAUACCUAGUGGCGAACGGCGGAGUAAUACGUGAACAACGUGCCCUAAAGACUGGGAUAUACGGCCGAAAGGCCGGGCAAUACCGGAUGUGGUGACAGCUUGGCAUCAAGAAGUCAUUAAAUGGUUUUUCGCUUUAGGAGCGGUUCACGGCCUAUCAGCUAGUUGGUGGGGUAACGGCCUACCAAGGCUACGACGGGUAGGGGGUCUGAGAGGAUGAUCCCCUCGAGUGGGACUGAGACACGGCCCACACACCUACGGGUGGCAGCAGUUGGGAAUCUUGCACAAUGGGGGAAACCCUGAUGCAGCGACGCCGCGUGGAGGACGAAGGGUCUAGGCCUGUAAACUCCUUUUCUCGGGAAAGACUUAGGACGGUACCCGAGGAAUAAGCACCGGCUAACUACGUGCCAGCAGCCGCGGUAAGACGUAGGGUGCAAGCGUUGUCCGGAUUUACUGGGCGUAAAGAGCGCGUAGGCGGUCUGUUGAGUGAGAAGUGAAAGCUCUGGGCUCAACCCAAAAAUUGCUUUUCAUACUGGCAGACUGGAGUGAUGCAGAGGUUUGUGGAAUUCCUGGUGUAGCGGUGAAAUGCGUUGAUAUCAGGAGGAACACCGAUGGCGAAGGCAGCAAACUGGGCAUUAACUGACGCUGAGGCGCGAAAGCGUGGGUAGCAAACAGGAUUAGAUACCCUGGUAGUCCACGCCCUAAACGAUGGAUACUAGGCGUUGGAGGUAUCGACCCCUCCAGUGCCGCAGCUAACGCACUAAGUAUCCCGCCUGGGGACUACGGCCGCAAGGUUGAAACUC
This 805-nucleotide ribosomal RNA is filed under the name uncultured Actinomycetes bacterium. Its description in RNAcentral is "bacterial SSU rRNA". It matches the Rfam family "Bacterial small subunit ribosomal RNA", at positions 82 to 902 of the family's 1533-position model. Lineage: Bacteria; Bacillati; Actinomycetota; Actinomycetes. The record is from RNAcentral.